Sebastes umbrosus (honeycomb rockfish) is the source of this 1003-nucleotide long non-coding RNA. RefSeq lists it as uncharacterized. The transcript is spliced from 2 exons. NCBI's taxonomy places the organism in Eukaryota, Metazoa, Chordata, Actinopteri, Perciformes, Sebastidae. The record is from RefSeq and is a predicted model, not a curated record.
GCGAUUAUUCGUUUCACUGCAACUUGCAGCUCACAAAUUAUUUUAAUUUGGAAUAUUUUUGUCAGGUCAGUAUUGUCAUCUGUCAUGCUAUAAAAUGGCCCUGACACUGGUGAUCUACAGCUUGCUGGAAGGGGCUUCAGCCCUGUUUAUUUCUCCCAGGAUGUAAUCUGUGCUCAGACUGACCAUGUCGCUUUGGGCCACCACAGAGGGCCGAGCACUGGGGCCUCAAGCCGACCUCUACCCGGGUGUUCAAUAAUAGAUGCCAUGCUGUUGACACAUGGCAGGUGGCAACACAACAUUUCACAGGUUAGAUGAAUAUUUCAUAUCAAAGCUGUGCAAUCACAGCGCACAUUCCUGUUUGAAGUUUGGGGAAUGGAUCACGGCGAAAAUUGGGACAUGUGUUGAGCUGUUUACAAUUACUCCAGCCAUCUGGAAAUUAGAGUAACGUGCUACGGUUCAAAGAAAACACAUUAUAAAACAGGCUGUAAAAAUCUGUCGCCGGUUUUGAAGGUGCUGGUGUAGUCAUUUUGAAAAUAAAACAGAGGAGAUUAAUAAUGUAUUAGUAAAUAGUGGAUUGUAAACCAUUUUGCCUGACAAGUAGUUUCCUUUUAUUGCAUCCCUGGUUGAGUAUCUUGGAUAUAGUGUAUUGCCCUUGGACAGGAGCAGCUGUGAUGUAUUAUCCGUCUUUGGACAAGCCUCCCAGAGCGAGAUCUAACUGGAGCAGAACAGAAGAGAGAAAAGUGACAUCCAACCUCUUGAUGGCCUUGUAGCAGAUGAUGAUGGCUGAGAGGAGGAAGACGACUGAGGCACAGCCCACCGUUCCGAGCACUACAAUGUCCAUCUCCAUCCACCAGGGCCUCAACAAGGGCACCAUGGGCUCUGCCACUUAGAGAAAAAACAUAGAAGAAGAAGAGGGAGCAAAGGGAGGAGGAGGAGAGAGAUUUGGAUACAGAAGAAGAGAAUGAGUGGAACGAAUUUAACAAAAUAAAUCAGAAAACAUUCA